ACGGUGAACGGCUCAAUUGUACAU
This 24-nucleotide non-coding RNA is filed under the name Arabidopsis thaliana (thale cress). The record is from RNAcentral. Lineage: Eukaryota; Viridiplantae; Streptophyta; Magnoliopsida; Brassicales; Brassicaceae.